This is a small nuclear RNA of Cyprinus carpio carpio, 154 nucleotides long. Its record names the gene U1. It matches the Rfam family "U1 spliceosomal RNA". Rfam says of the family: U1 is a small nuclear RNA (snRNA) component of the spliceosome (involved in pre-mRNA splicing). Its 5' end forms complementary base pairs with the 5' splice junction, thus defining the 5' donor site of an intron. There are significant differences in sequence and secondary structure between metazoan and yeast U1 snRNAs, the latter being much longer (568 nucleotides as compared to 164 nucleotides in human). The record is from Ensembl. NCBI's taxonomy places the organism in Eukaryota, Metazoa, Chordata, Actinopteri, Cypriniformes, Cyprinidae.
AUACUAACCUGGCAGGGGAGACACCAUGAUCAAGAAAGUGGUUCACCCAGGGCGAGGUUCACCUGGCCAUGCUGACCCCUGCAAUUCCCCCAAAUGUGGGAAUUUUGACUGCAUAAUUUAUGGUAGUAGGGGACUGCGUUCGCGCACUCCCCUG